AGGCCGGAGAUCGUCAAUGGAGAACGCUUCAGCUUUGCGAGCAUCCUCUGUGGGACAAUCUUCUUUGGCAAGAUGGUCGCGAAACUUCCGGAGUCGAUUUCUAC
Molecule: microRNA precursor, 104 nt
Filed under: Oikopleura dioica
Lineage: Eukaryota; Metazoa; Chordata; Appendicularia; Copelata; Oikopleuridae
Description: microRNA odi-mir-1469 precursor
Source: miRBase by way of RNAcentral